CUAACGCUUACAUACAGCUUUAAUGUAAACCUAUUAAGUGAGAUGAAAGUGGUUUUCUCAGUCAAGUGUUUGGAAUAUUGAGGAGUAAUAGGUAUCAUUUAACAGAAAGUUUUAAGCGGCACAUUUAAAUAAUUUGUUGACCAGUAUUGAAUAACCCUAAAUGGACAGUGUGAAGUAGGGUGUUCUUUUGGUCACUUAGCAUGCCUUCCCACUCAACUCAUGAACUAGAUUGUACAGAGGUUUAUUCCCUAGGGUGUUAAUG
RNAcentral lists this long non-coding RNA (262 nucleotides) under Bos taurus (domestic cattle). RNAcentral describes it as "long non-coding RNA NONBTAT026006". Lineage: Eukaryota; Metazoa; Chordata; Mammalia; Artiodactyla; Bovidae. The record is from RNAcentral.